GCUCAGGAUGAACGCUGGCGGCGUGCUUAACACAUGCAAGUCGAACGAUGAUCCCAGCUUGCUGGGGGAUUAGUGGCGAACGGGUGAGUAACACGUGAGUAACCUGCCCUUGACUCUGGGAUAAGCCUGGGAAACUGGGUCUAAUACCGGAUACGACCAUCUGGCGCAUGUCAUGGUGGUGGAAAGCUUUUGUGGUUUUGGAUGGACUCGCGGCCUAUCAGCUUGUUGGUGGGGUAAUGGCCUACCAAGGCGACGACGGGUAGCCGGCCUGAGAGGGUGACCGGCCACACUGGGACUGAGACACGGCCCAGACUCCUACGGGAGGCAGCAGUGGGGAAUAUUGCACAAUGGGCGCAAGCCUGAUGCAGCGACGCCGCGUGAGGGAUGACGGCCUUCGGGUUGUAAACCUCUUUCAGUAGGGAAGAAGCGAAAGUGACGGUACCUGCAGAAGAAGCGCCGGCUAACUACGUGCCAGCAGCCGCGGUAAUACGUAGGGCGCAAGCGUUAUCCGGAAUUAUUGGGCGUAAAGAGCUCGUAGGCGGUUUGUCGCGUCUGCUGUGAAAGACCGGGGCUCAACUCCGGUUCUGCAGUGGGUACGGGCAGACUAGAGUGCAGUAGGGGAGACUGGAAUUCCUGGUGUAGCGGUGAA
This 649-nucleotide ribosomal RNA is filed under the name bacterium TN134B. Its description in RNAcentral is "bacterial SSU rRNA". It matches the Rfam family "Bacterial small subunit ribosomal RNA", at positions 22 to 685 of the family's 1533-position model. The record is from RNAcentral.